GGAUGAACGCUGACAGAAUGCUUAACACAUGCAAGUCUUUGGCGAAGCUGUGCUUGCACAGCCUAGCCAAGGCGGACGGGUGAGUAACGCGUAAGGAACUUGCCCUGCAGUCAGGGAUAACAGACGGAAACGACUGAUAAGACCUGGUAAAGUCAGGCGGACUCAUGUCCAGCCUGAUGAAAAGAGAUGCUGCAGGAGAGCCUUGCGUCCUAUUAGCUUGUUGGUGGGGUAACGGCCCACCAAGGCGAUGAUAGGUAGCCGGCCUGAGAGGGUGGACGGCCACAAGGGGACUGAGAUACGGCCCUUACUCCUACGGGAGGCAGCAGUGGGGAAUAUUGGACAAUGGGGGCAACCCUGAUCCAGCAAUUCUGUGUGCACGAUGAAGGUUUUCGGAUUGUAAAGUGCUUUCAGCAGGGAAGAAAAAAAUGACGGUACCUGCAGAAGAAGCGACGGCUAAAUACGUG
This 464-nucleotide ribosomal RNA is filed under the name uncultured bacterium. RNAcentral describes it as "partial 16S ribosomal RNA". It matches the Rfam family "Bacterial small subunit ribosomal RNA", at positions 27 to 507 of the family's 1533-position model. The record is from RNAcentral.